GCCUUGUUAACUCAGUAGGUAGAGUGCGUGGCUGUUAACCACGAUGUCGCAGGUUCGAGUCCUGCACAAGGCG
This 73-nucleotide transfer RNA is filed under the name Nanoarchaeales archaeon. Its description in RNAcentral is "tRNA-Asn". It matches the Rfam family "tRNA". Rfam says of the family: Transfer RNA (tRNA) molecules are approximately 80 nucleotides in length. Their secondary structure includes four short double-helical elements and three loops (D, anti-codon, and T loops). Further hydrogen bonds mediate the characteristic L-shaped molecular structure. tRNAs have two regions of fundamental functional importance: the anti-codon, which is responsible for specific mRNA codon recognition, and the 3' end, to which the tRNAs corresponding amino acid is attached (by aminoacyl-tRNA synthetases). tRNAs cope with the degeneracy of the genetic code in two manners: having more than one tRNA (with a specific anti-codon) for a particular amino acid; and 'wobble' base-pairing, i.e. permitting non-standard base-pairing at the 3rd anti-codon position. The record is from RNAcentral. Lineage: Archaea; Nanobdellati; Nanobdellota; Candidatus Nanoarchaeia; Nanoarchaeales.